Molecule: long non-coding RNA, 531 nt
Filed under: Homo sapiens (human)
Lineage: Eukaryota; Metazoa; Chordata; Mammalia; Primates; Hominidae
Description: non-protein coding PVT1:63
Rfam family: Pvt1 oncogene conserved region 3 (bases 225-319)
Source: RNAcentral
CUUUCUAAAGCUCUGAUCAGUCAAGAAGGGGGUUGUAUCAAUCCUCAGAACCCUGAGUGGAACUUUCUACAGGAUUUAUUAGGAGAAAAACCUUCCCGGAAGCUGCAGAAGGACAAAUACAGAAUCCGUGUCUGGGAGAAACCUCGUGGCCUGGUCUCCAUUAUUUGAGAUGAGUUACAUCUUGGAGGCCUGAUCUUUUGGCCAGAAGGAGAUUAAAAAGAUGCCCCUCAAGAUGGCUGUGCCUGUCAGCUGCAUGGAGCUUCGUUCAAGUAUUUUCUGAGCCUGAUGGAUUUACAGUGAUCUUCAGUGGUCUGGGGAAUAACGCUGGUGGAACCAUGCACUGGAAUGACACACGCCCGGCACAUUUCAGGAUACUAAAAGUGGUUUUAAGGGAGGCUGUGGCUGAAUGCCUCAUGGAUUCUUACAGCUUGGAUGUCCAUGGGGGACGAAGGACUGCAGCUGGCUGAGAGGGUUGAGAUCUCUGUUUACUUAGAUCUCUGCCAACUUCCUUUGGGUCUCCCUAUGGAAUGU